RNAcentral lists this ribosomal RNA (490 nucleotides) under uncultured bacterium. RNAcentral describes it as "partial 16S ribosomal RNA". It matches the Rfam family "Bacterial small subunit ribosomal RNA", at positions 29 to 505 of the family's 1533-position model. The record is from RNAcentral.
AGUGAACGCUGGCGGUAGGCCUAACACAUGCAAGUCGAACGGCAGCACAGUAAGAGCUUGCUCUUACGGGUGGCGAGUGGCGGACGGGUGAGGAAUACAUCGGAAUCUACUUUUUCGUGGGGGAUAACGUAGGGAAACUUACGCUAAUACCGCAUACGACCUACGGGUGAAAGCAGGGGAUCUUCGGACCUUGCGCGAUUGAAUGAGCCGAUGUCGGAUUAGCUAGUUGGCGGGGUAAAGGCCCACCAAGGCGACGAUCCGUAGCUGGUCUGAGAGGAUGAUCAGCCACACUGGAACUGAGACACGGUCCAGACUCCUACGGGAGGCAGCAGUGGGGAAUAUUGGACAAUGGGCGCAAGCCUGAUCCAGCCAUACCGCGUGGGUGAAGAAGGCCUUCGGGUUGUAAAGCCCUUUUGUUGGGAAAGAAAAGCAGCAGGUUAAUACCCCGCUGUUCCGACGGUACCCAAAGAAUAAGCACCGGCUAACCUCG